Marasmius sp. AFHP31 is the source of this 93-nucleotide non-coding RNA. The record is from the annotation of a GenBank genome assembly. NCBI's taxonomy places the organism in Eukaryota, Fungi, Basidiomycota, Agaricomycetes, Agaricales, Marasmiaceae.
UCCCUGGUAGUAUAUCGGUGAGUACACGCGCCUGUCAUGUGUCUGUCCAUCCUAGUUGCGCGCGAAAGCUGGGUUCGACUCCCAGCCAGGGAG